This is a small nucleolar RNA of Carcharodon carcharias (great white shark), 244 nucleotides long. RefSeq annotates it as small nucleolar RNA SNORA53. The transcript has a single exon. The record is from RefSeq and is a predicted model, not a curated record. Lineage: Eukaryota; Metazoa; Chordata; Chondrichthyes; Lamniformes; Lamnidae.
AAUAUGCUCCCUAGAUCCACCUUUGGGAUGUACCUGUUUUGCCUUGCUGGUAGAUUUCUGCACUUUGGUGUUGGGUCCUUCACUGGGCUGGCAGGUGACAUUUAUCAACUUGUGGUUGGCCAUUCAAAGGUGCUUGAGUCAUUAGCAUGUAAUAUACCUGCACAGUAGCCCCUCUGUUCUGAUGUGAACUACCUGUUGCUCCAGGCUCUUGCUGCCAUCAGGAGUUUGCUGCUGUGUGGACAUG